This 498-nucleotide ribosomal RNA is filed under the name uncultured bacterium. Its description in RNAcentral is "partial 16S ribosomal RNA". It matches the Rfam family "Bacterial small subunit ribosomal RNA", at positions 30 to 523 of the family's 1533-position model. The record is from RNAcentral.
AUUGAACGCUGGCGGCAUGCCUUACACAUGCAAGUCGAACGGUAACAGGUCUUCGGAUGCUGACGAGUGGCGAACGGGUGAGUAAUACAUCGGAACGUGCCUAGUAGUGGGGGAUAACUACUCGAAAGGGUGGCUAAUACCGCAUGAGAUCUACGGAUGAAAGCAGGGGAUCGCAAGCCCUUGUGCUACUAGAGCGGCCGAUGGCAGAUUAGGUAGUUGGUGGGAUAAAAGCUUACCAAGCCGACGAUCUGUAGCUGGUCUGAGAGGACGAUCAGCCACACUGGGACUGAGACACGGCCCAGACUCCUACGGGAGGCAGCAGUGGGGAAUUUUGGACAAUGGGCGCAAGCCUGAUCCAGCAAUGCCGCGUGCAGGAUGAAGGCCUUCGGGUUGUAAACUGCUUUUGUACGGAACGAAAAGCCCUGGGUUAAUACCCUGGGGUCAUGACGGUACCGUAAGAAUAAGCACCGGCUAACUACGUGCCAGCAGCCGCGGUAA